This 497-nucleotide ribosomal RNA is filed under the name uncultured bacterium. Its description in RNAcentral is "partial 16S ribosomal RNA". It matches the Rfam family "Bacterial small subunit ribosomal RNA", at positions 28 to 507 of the family's 1533-position model. The record is from RNAcentral.
GAUGAACGCUGGCGGCGUGCCUAAUACAUGCAAGUCGAGCGAACAGACGAGGAGCUUGCUCCUCUGACGUUAGCGGCGGACGGGUGAGUAACACGUGGAUAACCUACCUAUAAGACUGGGAUAACUUCGGGAAACCGGAGCUAAUACCGGAUAAUAUAUUGAACCGCAUGGUUCAAUAGUGAAAGACGGUUUUGCUGUCACUUAUAGAUGGAUCCGCGCCGCAUUAGCUAGUUGGUAAGGUAACGGCUUACCAAGGCAACGAUGCGUAGCCGACCUGAGAGGGUGAUCGGCCACACUGGAACUGAGAAACGGUCCAGACUCCUACGGGAGGCAGCAGUAGGGAAUCUUCCGCAAUGGGCGAAAGCCUGACGGAGCAACGCCGCGGGAGUGAUGAAGGUCUUCGGAUCGUAAAACUCUGUUAUUAGGGAAGAACAAAUGUGUAAGUAACUAUGCACGUCUUGACGGUACCUAAUCAGAAAGCCACGGCUAACUACGUG